GGGGGUGAAAAGGUUUCGACAGGGAUAAUCUCAGGCAGAGACUGCAGGUUGCAGUUGGUCGGAGGCUGCAUUAAAAUUCGGCCACAACAUAAGUGCAAACACCUAUGCAUAUGCCGCUUAAUUAAAGCGACAGCGCUGCUGUCUGACGCCUAUAGGAUGGACAGCGCCAGAAUAGGCUUACUGUAAGGUCGUCUGGUUCAAGUGACCCCGCAGGAAACAAAUAUUGGACCUGGCUUUGGGCGCUCGUUCAAAAGCAAACCCAAAGUGAGAUUAAUUUUUGAGCUAAACCUGUAGAUGUCCUGCUUGUCUGUUUCUGGACCCGGGUUCGAUUCCCGGCACCUCCACCA
Elusimicrobia bacterium CG1_02_37_114 is the source of this 347-nucleotide non-coding RNA. The record is from Rfam. NCBI's taxonomy places the organism in Bacteria, Pseudomonadati, Elusimicrobiota.